GGGGAGGAGAGGGUGGGGAACGCGGGCCGAGAAGAGUGAACGGCAAAGCGGACCGAAAAGGGUGAAUGGGGAUAGGCAAGCUCUGUGUUGUGGAAUGCGUUUUGCAUUGGCAAUUCGCUGGCCACAUUACAAUGAGGAACCCAACCAAAAAUGGUUUAUAUCUCCGCAAUUACCUCCCCAACUAUGGAUCCUCUGAGAUCUAUCAUUUGAAUUCUGGAAUUGGCAUUUACUGGAAAGAUGGGAAACCAGGCUGAUAACAGACCACUGCAGGAGGUUCAGGUGCUCAUAGAGGAAUUAAUUUCUACAAGCAGCUUUCCAGCACAUGCCCAGGGAAGUUGUAGUCAAGCUCAGCUGUCCACCUCUGCGUUCUACACUUGUAGCCACCUCAUGUCCUUUCCUUUCUGUCACUGUU
Stegostoma tigrinum is the source of this 412-nucleotide long non-coding RNA. RefSeq lists it as uncharacterized. The record is from RefSeq and is a predicted model, not a curated record. The transcript has 4 exons. Lineage: Eukaryota; Metazoa; Chordata; Chondrichthyes; Orectolobiformes; Stegostomatidae.